ACAGCCAGGAUAUGAACCAGUGUCCAAGUGGAAUCCCAGUGCUUGCAAGGUGAGGACGUUGCUGGCCGCUAAUCUAUUUCUAAAAACAGGUGUCUUUAAGUGUUAGAACCAUGUCUCCGUCCCCUACUCUCAUGGAGAAAUUGGGCUCUAGUGUGAUGCAGUUUCCUCCCUUUUCGGAGUGGUAGGAUUCUUUGUAGAACUUUCUGACAUAAUUAGUUAAGUAGAUGGU
Long non-coding RNA from Ochotona curzoniae (black-lipped pika), 229 nucleotides. RefSeq lists it as uncharacterized. The transcript is spliced from 2 exons. The record is from RefSeq and is a predicted model, not a curated record. NCBI's taxonomy places the organism in Eukaryota, Metazoa, Chordata, Mammalia, Lagomorpha, Ochotonidae.